Molecule: ribosomal RNA, 500 nt
Filed under: uncultured bacterium
Lineage: Bacteria
Description: partial 16S ribosomal RNA
Rfam family: Bacterial small subunit ribosomal RNA
Source: RNAcentral
AUUGAACGCUGGCGGCAUGCCUUACAUAUGCAAGUCGAACGGCAGCACGGGAGCAAUCCUGGUGGCGAGUGGCGAACGGGUGAGUAAUAUAUCGGAACGUGCCCAGUCGUGGGGGAUAACGCAGCGAAAGCUGUGCUAAUACCGCAUACGAUCUCUGGAUGAAAGCGGGGGACCGUAAGGCCUCGCGCGAUUGGAGCGGCCGAUAUCAGAUUAGCUAGUUGGUGGGGUAAAGGCCCACCAAGGCGACGAUCUGUAGCUGGUCUGAGAGGACGACCAGCAACACUGGAACUGAGACACGGUCCAGACUCCUACGGGAGGCAGCAGUGGGGAAUUUUGGACAAUGGGCGCAAGCCUGAUCCAGCAAUGCCGCGUGCAGGAUGAAGGCCUUCGGGUUGUAAACUGCUUUUGUACGGAACGAAACGGCGAGCUCUAAUAAAGUUUGCUAAUGACGGUACCGUAAGAAUAAGCACCGGCUAACUACGUGCCAGCAGCCGCCGUAA